GUCAGAAUGAUCGAAUUGGUAUAGAUAGCUCACUUAAAAUGAGCCGCCUUCGGGAUUGGUGGGUUCGAGUCCCCCUUCUGACA
This 83-nucleotide transfer RNA is filed under the name Pseudomonas phage D6. It matches the Rfam family "tRNA". From Rfam's summary of the family: Transfer RNA (tRNA) molecules are approximately 80 nucleotides in length. Their secondary structure includes four short double-helical elements and three loops (D, anti-codon, and T loops). Further hydrogen bonds mediate the characteristic L-shaped molecular structure. tRNAs have two regions of fundamental functional importance: the anti-codon, which is responsible for specific mRNA codon recognition, and the 3' end, to which the tRNAs corresponding amino acid is attached (by aminoacyl-tRNA synthetases). tRNAs cope with the degeneracy of the genetic code in two manners: having more than one tRNA (with a specific anti-codon) for a particular amino acid; and 'wobble' base-pairing, i.e. permitting non-standard base-pairing at the 3rd anti-codon position. Lineage: Duplodnaviria; Heunggongvirae; Uroviricota; Caudoviricetes. The record is from Rfam by way of RNAcentral.